RNAcentral lists this ribosomal RNA (265 nucleotides) under uncultured bacterium. RNAcentral's name for it is "partial small subunit ribosomal RNA". It matches the Rfam family "Bacterial small subunit ribosomal RNA", at positions 26 to 290 of the family's 1533-position model. The record is from RNAcentral.
AGGACGAACGCUGGCGGCGUGCUUAACACAUGCAAGUCGAACGACCUUUCUUCCUUCGGGUUGAAAGUGAGUGGCGAACGGGUGAGUAACACGUGAGCAACCUGCCCUUGACACUGGAAUAACAGUUGGAAACAGCUGCUAAUACCGGAUAUGACCUCUGACGACAUCGUCUGGAGGUGGAAAGCUCCGGCGGUCAAGGAUGGGCUCGCGGCCUAUCAGCUUGUUGGUGAGGUAACGGCUCACCAAGGCUUCGACGGGUAGCCGG